UGAAAGCAUCUAAGUAGGAAGCCCACCUCA
Molecule: ribosomal RNA, 30 nt
Filed under: Plagiothecium undulatum
Lineage: Eukaryota; Viridiplantae; Streptophyta; Bryopsida; Hypnales; Plagiotheciaceae
Also listed under: 19 other names
Description: Buckiella undulata partial 23S ribosomal RNA
Source: RNAcentral